GAUGAACGCUGGCGGCGUGCCUAAUACAUGCAAGUCGAGCGAACAGACGAGGAGCUUGCUCCUUUGACGUUAGCGGCGGACGGGUGAGUAACACGUAGGUAACCUACCUAUAAGACUGGGAUAACUUCGGGAAACCGGAGCUAAUACCGGAUAAUAUUUCGAACCGCAUGGUUCGAUAGUGAAAGAUGGCUUUGCUAUCACUUAUAGAUGGACCUGCGCCGUAUUAGCUAGUUGGUAAGGUAACGGCUUACCAAGGCAACGAUCCGUAGCCGACCUGAGAGGGUGAUCGGCCACACUGGAACUGAGACACGGUCCAGACUCCUACGGGAGGCAGCAGUAGGGAAUCUUCCGCAAUGGGCGAAAGCCUGACGGAGCAACGCCGCGUGAGUGAUGAAGGUCUUCGGAUCGUAAAGCUCUGUUAUUAGGGAAGAACAAACGUGUAAGUAACUGUGCACGUCUUGACGGUACCUAAUCAGAAAGCCACGGCUAACUACGUG
Molecule: ribosomal RNA, 497 nt
Filed under: uncultured bacterium
Lineage: Bacteria
Description: partial 16S ribosomal RNA
Rfam family: Bacterial small subunit ribosomal RNA
Source: RNAcentral